RNAcentral lists this transfer RNA (55 nucleotides) under Aiolocaria hexaspilota. RNAcentral's name for it is "tRNA-Ser". Lineage: Eukaryota; Metazoa; Arthropoda; Insecta; Coleoptera; Coccinellidae. The record is from RNAcentral.
GAAAUAAAAAAAUUAAGCUUCUAACUUAAUAAAUAGCACUUUUGUUAAUAUUUCU